Molecule: long non-coding RNA, 1107 nt
Organism: Ictalurus punctatus (channel catfish)
Lineage: Eukaryota; Metazoa; Chordata; Actinopteri; Siluriformes; Ictaluridae
Source: Ensembl
AGACAGAGAAAGAGAGAGAGGGUUAGAGAGACGGAGAAAGAGAGAGAGGGUCAGAGAGACAGAUAGAAAGAGAGAGAGGGUCAGAGAGACAGAGAGAGAGAAAGGGUCAGAGAGACGGAGAACGAGAGAGAGGGUCAGAGAGACGGAGAAAGAGAGAGAGUUUCAGAGAGACAGAUAGAGAGAGAGGGUCAGAGAGACAGAGAGAGAAAGAGAGAGAGGGUCAGAGAGACAGAGAGAGAAAGAGAGAGAGGGUCAGAGAGACAGAUAGAGAGACAGAAAGACAGAAUGACAGAGAGAGUGAGAGAGGGUCAGGGAGACAGACAGAGAGAAAGAAUGAGAGAGAGGGUCAGAGAGACAGAGAGAGAAGGAGACAGAAAGACAGAAUGAGAGACAGAGAGAGAAGGAGACAGAAUGAGAGACAGAGAGAGAAGGAGACAGAAAGACAGAAUGAGAGACAGAAAGAGAAGGAGACAGAAAGACAGAAUGAGAGACAGAAUGAGAGACAGAGAGAAGGAGACAGAAAGACAGAAUGAGAGACAGAGAGAGAGAGAGACAGAAAGACAGAAUGAGAGACAGAGAGAGAAAGAGACAGAAAGACAGAAUGAGAGACAGAAUGAGAGACAGAGAGAAGGAGACAGAAAGACAGAAUGAGAGACAGAAUGAGAGACAGAGAGAAGGAGACAGAAAGACAGAAUGAGAGACAGAAUGAGAGACAGAGAGAAGGAGACAGAAAGACAGAAUGAGAGACAGAAUGAGAGACAGAGAGAAGGAGACAGAAAGACAGAAUGAGAGACAGAGAGAAGGAGACAGAAUGAGAGACCGAGAGAGAAGGAGACAGAAUGAGAGACAGAGAGAAGGAGACAGAAUGAGAGACCGAGAGAGAAGGAGACAGAAUGAGAAGUCGUUUGUUUGUGCUCUACGGUGAAGACGUUGGGGUUCGAGAUGAAAAGCUGGACGUGAGUGUAGGAUUUCAGCUUUUACCUCCUGGCGUUUACAUCUAGACGUCUUUAACGACUUAACACACAGAACCUUUCGGAUCAGACCUCCCAGUGUUUCGGUGAGCAAAAGUAUUGGAACAGAUCAGUCUUGAAGUAAAUGAAAGUAAAU